UACGUAGGGUGCAAGCGUUGUCCGGAAUUAUUGGGCGUAAAGGGCUCGUAGGCGGUUUGUUGCGUCGGCUGUGAAAUCCCGAGGCUCAACCUCGGGUCUGCAGUCGAUACGGGCAAACUAGAGUGUUGCAGGGGAGAGUGGAAUUCCUGGUGUAGCGGUGAAAUGCGCAGAUAUCAGGAGGAACACCGGUGGCGAAGGCGGGGCUCUGGGCAACAACUGACGCUGAGGAGCGAAAGCGUGGGGAGCAAACAGG
This 253-nucleotide ribosomal RNA is filed under the name uncultured bacterium. RNAcentral describes it as "partial 16S ribosomal RNA". It matches the Rfam family "Bacterial small subunit ribosomal RNA", at positions 524 to 776 of the family's 1533-position model. The record is from RNAcentral.